Molecule: non-coding RNA, 1645 nt
Organism: Vicugna pacos (alpaca)
Lineage: Eukaryota; Metazoa; Chordata; Mammalia; Artiodactyla; Camelidae
Source: RefSeq, a predicted model, not a curated record
UCUCCUUGUAAACCCAAAAUCGUGUUUCAUCAAUUCUCAAAAAGGUCAUAAUCCAUAGUUAUUUUUUAGUGAAAUUGUAUCUGCACAAAUGUGAUUUGAUAAUAAUUUGAUGAGCUAUUUCCUAGAAUCUGAGAUACACAACGAUUAUGCGUUUAUUCCGUGGCGAUUACCUAAACCCGGCAAAUUUUGGAAUUAGCUUGAUGCUCCCUACUAUUUUUAAUUGUGUCGUUUUUCCCAGUCCUGGAUCCGUCAACUCCCUUCCCGAACCCCCUCCGCCGUGCCGCACCCCCCCACCCCCCGAAAAAAAAAAAAGACUAAGCCUGGCCUCAGUUCCCGUAUUUCAAGCCAGGACCAACCAGAAACCAGUUUUCUUCCACUAAUCCGGAACUCCGGGCUGUUACCAACGCUGCCAUUGGCCAGCGUCAGUCCUUGGUACGUGCCCCAAGAUAACCCCCUGGUUUCUCUCCCUUUUCCCCCUACAAUGGGCCUUUCCCAAUGUUUGUAACAAAUUCAUAAUCCACAGUAAGGCAUCUCUGAUAACCAACUCACAUUCUUCAAAGUUUUCGGGUGGAAACAAACAAGGCCGAGGGGAGGGCAAGGUACCCUUUCACCGACUCGCUGGGAGGGGGGAAGGGGCAGUUCUUUGCCUCAGCAUCGAGAUCUAGAGCCGGGGACUCCGUACCUGAUGCUCCUCCAGCUCCUGCACUAGCACCUGAGCAAAAGGGAAACACGGAUAUGAGGAGCUGCUCAGGCCAUCAACCCAUUCCUCCCUCCUCAAUUCGAACCCAGCCGCUGACGGGUCCGGACUGCAAGAAUCUAGCAAUCAGGUAAUACAGCUCUAAGGAAGAAGGGGGAAAGGAGGUUGAGAUGGAGGCAAAGAAGAGAAAUAGAAGCUUUUUCAAAAGAAACUGACAGCCGUCGCGCUAAGCCCCCAUCCCCUUAGCCCCCGGACACAGCUACCCACCGGCUUCGAUCUGGUUCUGGAAGUCAGAAGUCUGAAGUCAGAAUAUCACCAGGCCGGAAUGCCUCCAAAAUCUCUGGUGGAGAAUCCUUAUUCCAGCUUUUGAUGAGUACUGGCAUGCCUGGAAAUCACUAGAAAUUGUGGUAGCCUAACUCAAAUCUCUAUCUUCAUCUUCACAUGGCCUUUUUCCUUAUGUCCCUGUGUUAAAUCUCCCUCUCCUUUUUCUUAUAAGGACACCAGUCAUUGGAUUUUGGCCUUACCCCAAAUCCAGAAUGAUCUCCUCUUGAGAACCUUAACUUAGUUAUAUCUACAAAGACUCUAUUUUCAAAUAGGGUCAUAUUCUCAGGUACUGGGGGAUAAGGCAUGGACAUAUUUUUUUGGAAGAAGCAUACUUAAACCCACUAAAUCAUUGUUUUAUUUUGACUCAUUUAAAGUCAUAUUUCAGUGGAGAAUCAAGGUUGAAAAUUUAACAGUUCUCUGUAGUAUGGCCAAAAAAAGAGAAAAAAUAGGAAAUUCUGAGAUGAAGGGACAAAAAUGGUAAAUAAGGUUAAUAUAACAAAUUGUGUAAAUAGUUUGUCUUUUUCUGUCUAGGUUCUUAAAAUUUUUAAAAAUUAUAUAAUAACUAAAAUAAUGUAUUCCUGGAUUCUAAAUAUAUCAUAUUCAUUAUAAUAUGUUAAUAUAUUU